CCUCGAACCGGCAGGUUCCCUGAUCCCGACCCUCCCCCUCCUCCAGACCCUGGAGGCCCCCGGCGGCCGCAGGGCUGACGCAGGAGCGCCGAGGCGCUUCCCUUCGGCGCCCGCGGGUUGGGUGGGGGGGCUGGGCUGCGGGCUCGUGCACGCGCCCCCCACCCCCCACCCCCACCCCCAGGAGGUUGUGCUCGCGCCUUUCCCCGGGUCCAGGGGUCUUUCUGCGGCCCGCGGUGUUUUCCUAGGGCUUCCCGUGUUCAGACAAAGGAGCGGGCAACUUUCCACCGUCUGCGGAACGGAGCGACGGCGCGUUUCGGUCGUUCGCAGUUACGGGUGCAGGGCAGAAAAUUCUGUGCCCCGGCUGCCCACCUGGGUCCUCACUUUCACUGCCUCGGCCGACUUAGUUCAUUGCGCUUGGUAAUUGACUUUCGACGGCUUUGGGAUGCUGUUUUGGCCCGCGAGGAUUCAAGGAAUUAGAGUGUGCGCGGUGUCCUGCACCCAGUUUAAUUUAGUACCUGCUUACGAAGUCAGUGACUUCUGCAGUCGUCUCCGAAUUUUCCUACAAAUUAAGGAGCAAGACCAGUACUGGUUGUUGCAAGGUGAUUUCUUAAGGAUGGUUUCACGGUAUCCUUUGGGCUUUCUUAAAACUUGGGAGAGUUUUGGGGCGUCUGGGGGGCCCAGUGGGGUCCGCCUCCGACUCUUGAUCUCAGCUCAGGUCUUGAUCUAGGGUGCUGAGUUCGAGCCCCGUGCUGGGCAUGAAGCCUGCUUAAAAACAAAACAGGAGACUUUUCCUUGUUGCCGCCGGACACCGGCUGACCAGUUUGUAAAGAGCUGCUGGCCCUGGAGGCUGGUACGGUUCUUCCCAUCCGUGCACACCAGCCUGGAGCCAGAGCCUCGGUGUUUGCUCAGCCCCCUUUGUGACCAGAACUGCCUUCUUGUUUUGAAAAGUGAUGCGUCUCCCGGUCUCACCAUCUGCAAAAUGGGGACGAUGGUAACACCAGCUCUCAGGGUGGUUGUGAGGAGCGGGGUCCCUGUUUCUGAAGCCCCAGCUUGGGGUAGGUGCUAGAUAAGAGCUCGUGCAGGAUUUGCAGGACUGGCCACCUCAGACAUUUGUAGCCUGUGUGUCACAUAACCACGUGAAGCAGGUGUUCAUUCGGUAACACCACUCUCUCUGUGUCUUUAUCCUGUAAUAGUUGGGGUGCCUGAAAAUGAGCCUAUUUUCUUAAAUAUAUUUCUCCUCUCUGGCUUUUAAUAUACAGCACUUGGAUUUUAAUUUCAGCAUUGAGCGAAGUUUUGCAUUUUAUUACUUAACCAGUUAUUAAAAAUCUUAACCCAA
This is a long non-coding RNA of Felis catus (domestic cat), 1336 nucleotides long. RefSeq lists it as uncharacterized. The record is from RefSeq and is a predicted model, not a curated record. NCBI's taxonomy places the organism in Eukaryota, Metazoa, Chordata, Mammalia, Carnivora, Felidae. The transcript has 2 exons.